UUUUUCUGAUUCGUACAUGUGGCAAAAUGUGUGAUUUUUUUUUUUUUACUUAGGGGUUGUGGGCCAAAAGUUACAUAUUAUUUCAUGAUUAUGUUUUUUUUGUUGGUCAUUUUAAAAUGCUAAAAUAUAAUAUGAACCUUCUUUUCAUUUAAUAUAAAUCUAUUUUUAAAGAAAUAAUUUAUACACGAUGAGGAAAACAAAA
This 202-nucleotide long non-coding RNA is filed under the name Capsella rubella. RNAcentral describes it as "long non-coding RNA (CRUB_LNC001739)". Lineage: Eukaryota; Viridiplantae; Streptophyta; Magnoliopsida; Brassicales; Brassicaceae. The record is from RNAcentral.